Long non-coding RNA from Taeniopygia guttata (zebra finch), 1323 nucleotides. RefSeq lists it as uncharacterized. NCBI's taxonomy places the organism in Eukaryota, Metazoa, Chordata, Aves, Passeriformes, Estrildidae. The record is from RefSeq and is a predicted model, not a curated record.
UUUCCAGUGCUCCUCUACAGCCCUCUUAUUCGUAGGGUAGAAAACACAGGCAAUGCAGGCACAUCAGAUUCUUAUAGCUGCUAUUUAGCUGCUUUUAUGAAUUCUUUGCCACAGCUUUUCUGGCACCAAACCCGUGUAAGGACUCCACAGCAUUACAAUCCUGCACUUUCCAUCUCCAGGGCUUCAGGGAUUUAGUACAGGUACCCUCAAGGGAAAGGGAGCAGGAAAAGCUGGGCUAGUCAAUCCAAAGAGAAAUGAACCUACUGAAGACAUGCAGAUACAGCAAGAUGUCUAAACAGAAUGACCUGUUAUGAGAAAUGAGAGAUAGUCUUGGAAAACACUUUGGGAACUUUUAGGAUAAAGAAGAACACACUUUCUCCACAGUUUGGAUUUGAGUCACCCAGGGAGGAGGAUGAGAAUUUUCCCGUGAGCUCAGAAGACUUUGUUGUUUGGAGACCAACACGGAGGAACCUACUCAGAGGUUGGUAUUUUCCCAACAUUCCCAAGUUUGCAGGUGAUGGGCCUCCCAGUCUGGAGCUGCAAAGCUCCUGCCUUUACUGGAAUUUUGGAAGUUCUAGGUUCUGGUGUCUAUGUCACACAAAUGGAUGAAGAGCUGGGAGCCACCAAGUUCAAACUUUUAGGUAUGUGUCAUACAAAAAAAAUGUUUCCAUUCCUGGAAGAUUUGAAUUCUUCAUAUUUACCUGUUUGACACAUUAUACUCAACAAAUGUUCUGGGAGAGAAUAAAAUCCAUUCUGGUAGCAUGCCAGAUUUUCCAAACAGAAAUGCUCAUAAGUCCAAUAGAAAAAGAUCCAUCUCUGUCAAUCCUUUAGCUGCCAGUAAUCUGUUGGAACAUUGGUCAAGGGAAAACUCCUCAGAAUCUACAUCAGAAAAAUAAUUCCAAGGGAAGAAGCAGAUCCAAAACUUAAUUUGCCUAAUGCUUUUGAAAGCAAAGCCCAUGAAUGAAACCCUUCAGUCCUGAGUAUAUUUGGGUCUGGACUGACAAGAUAAGAGAUUACAACUCUACUAAAAAAGUUAAAUAUCAGUAAACUCAUUUUGCAAAUCCACAGAACAGACUUCUCUUGGGAUUCAUUUGAACAUGAAGUGAUAUUUAGGAUAGGAUGCCUUAAAACUAUCUAAACCAAAGACACUUCCUUUUCAUUAUGCGUGAUAAAGAGCCUAAACUCAGUUUAGUGCUGAGUGAGCCUUUAUAUAUGACCUACAAAACCCAGAAAGACAAAAUGGAAAUGCUGACAUAACAGUAUUUGAGUGUAACUGCUUAUUUUUUUGACAAUUUGGCAUUCUCAUAAAAAUCAGUUUUGCUA